This 434-nucleotide long non-coding RNA is filed under the name Mytilus galloprovincialis (Mediterranean mussel). Lineage: Eukaryota; Metazoa; Mollusca; Bivalvia; Mytilida; Mytilidae. The record is from RNAcentral.
GAAAAUAGAUUUAUAUAGGAGUCCAUACAUACAACAAAUGACCCAGUCGCCUACAUCAAACUACGAAAUUUGUGUUCAAGCACCAGGUGCAUAUAACUGCAGGCAGUGCCAACAAUAUUGCCGACAAUAUUUCUAUUUCAACAUUUUAAAAAUGCACAUCUGAGGUUAAAUAUUUCAAAAACACAUACAUUACUUAAAAGCAGAGAACCGUUCAAGUAAAGACAAGGUAAUUUGUGAACAUACAGAAAAACACACAUUUUUGUGUGUGGAUUGUAAUGUUCCUUUAGGUAAAGUUUGUCUUGUCAACGACCAUAAUGGACAUAUAAUGAAGGAUCUGGAUAAAGAGAGAAAGUGAAAAUGUUGAGAAAGAGAUGUCGAAUCAAGGUGAAAUACUAAAGUCGGAAAUUGAUAAGAAUGUUGCAACAAUGAUAACA